RNAcentral lists this ribosomal RNA (412 nucleotides) under uncultured bacterium. Its description in RNAcentral is "partial 16S ribosomal RNA". It matches the Rfam family "Bacterial small subunit ribosomal RNA", at positions 360 to 773 of the family's 1533-position model. The record is from RNAcentral.
AAUAUUGGGCAAUGGAGGGAACUCGGACGCAGCGACGCCGCGUGAGCGAUGAAUGACAUCGGAUCGUAAAGCUCUGUCCUUGGGGAAAAAGGGAGCCGUAAGGCUUCUUGACGGUACCCAUGGAGGCAGCCCCGGCUACCUACGUGCCAGCUGCCGCGGUAAUACGUAGGGGGCAAGCGUUGUCCGGAAUUAUUGGGCGUAAAGGGUGCGUAGGCGGCCCUUUAAGUCAGAUGUGAAAGCCCACGGCUUAACCGUGGGACUGCAUUUGAAACUGGAGGGCUUGAGUGUCGGAGAGGGCAGUGGAAUUCCCAGUGUAGCGGUGGAAUGCGUAGAUAUUGGGAGGAACACCAGUGGCGAAGGCGACUGCCUGGACGAUAACUGACGCUGAGGCACGAAAGCUAGGGGAGCAAAC